GACACCCCCCCAACUUGUCGUCUUCAACUCUUCCCACACCACGCCGAAUUGCCGAAACCCUAGCCACCCCUCUUCCCCCUCAAAGCGGCGGCGGCGGCGGAGGCCGCUGCAUCGCCUGCUAAGAUGUCGGGCGGCUUCUUCCGGGGGACGUCGGCCGAUCAGGACACCCGUUUCUCCAACAAGCAGGCGAAGCUGCUCAAGACGCAGAAGUUCGCGCCCGAGCUUGAACACCUGGUGGACAUGACUAAGGUGAAGAUGGAUGUGAUGAAACCAUGGAUCGCGACCCGUGUCACCGAGCUCCUAGGGUUCGAGGACGAAGUGCUCAUCAACUUCAUCUACGGCCUCCUCGAAGAGAAGGAGGCGGAUGGAAAGAAGAUACAGAUACAGCUGACAGGAUUCAUGGAGAAGAACACAGUGAAGUUCAUGAAGGAGCUGUGGAGCCUCCUACUCAGUGCACAACAGAAUGCUAGUGGGGUGCCCCAACAGUUUUUAGAUGCAAAGGAAGCUGAGAUUCAGCAGAAAAAGGCAGAGGAAAGUAGAAUUGCUCAGGAGAUCCAGAAGAAACGGGAGAAAGAUGGAAGGGAGCAAGAACUAGAGAAACAAAAAUUGAUGAUAGCUUCUCCGAUUAUUUGGGUUCAUAUCGUUCUUUACCUCAAAACUGCUGUAGGACGGGGAUGCCGGUAAUUCUAGAUUAGGUCCUGAUCGUGCUGAUGCUGAGGAGGAAAAAGAACUGGAUUCUAAGCAUAGCUCAAGAACAAAGAGCCGGGAAAGCCUUAGGUCCAGGAGCAUCUCCUUGUCGCCUCGCGGUAGGCGGCGAUCUGUUUCUCCUAGGAGGCGUUCUCCAUCUCCUUCCAGAAAUUCCAUUUCUUUUGGGAGACAGCAACGAUCUUCAAGGCGCUCAGUUUCACCUAGGCGUUCUUUUUCUCCACGAAAGCGUUCUCCAAGAAGUACCCCUUCGAUGUCGAGGCGGAGAUCACCGUAUUCCAGAAGAUCACCUUCAGUACCAAGACAUCGAUCUCCGUCACCUCAUCGUAGAUCUCAUAUUCGCAGGAAAUCUCCACCUUUUGUGCGUCAGAGAUCACCAUCUCCACACCAUCGCCGGUCUCCAGGUCGUGCACCAAGAUCACCAUCUCCUGCACGUCAUAGAUCUCCUCGGCGCAGGUCAUCUCUAGACAGGCAUUGGUCUCCAUCUCCAGGAAGACGUAGGCCUCGGUCCCCUUCACCCGGACGACGUAGGCCACGGUCCCCUUCACCCGGACGACGUAGGCCACGGUCCCCUUCACCAGGAAGACGUAGGCCACGGUCCCCUUCACCAGGAAGACGUAGGCCACGGUCUCCAUCUCCGGGUAGACGCAGGCCAAGGUCACGAUCUCCAGGAAGACGAAGAUCCCCCUCUCCUCGAGGCUCUCCGCGGUUGAGGUCACCAAAACGCCCUAGGAGAUCGCCAAUUUCACCCAGAAGUCGUUCUGCAAACCGUCGGCCCUCUCCACAACGAAGGAGGAGUACCAGUCCACACGAUAGGAGCCCAAUCCAUUCUCGCAGGAGCUUGAGUAGAGACAUUGAAAAAGGAACAAACGGCAUUCCCUCCAGUAACGAUGUAGAUGUGCUUCAAAGGAACAAAGAAAGAUCACACGAUGACAAUAGGAAUGAUACAGAAGUGAGUGGCCAUCUUUCAUCGGAUUCUGAGCAUCGUAAGCUGACAAAAUCCUUGAAUUCUCCAAACAAGCCAGAAAGGAACUCGACACGCGAUAGUUCUUUGAAGGGCACUGAUAAGCACUUGCCCAGUCAGGUCAGAACAGAUAGCAGUGGAGAAGAGGAGGGCAGUCGUGCAAGAGAGAAUGCACGAAAAGCAAAUUCAUCACGCAGAAAAAUUAAGGAUUUCUCAGCAGAUCUGGAACUAAAGAAAGCACAUGAUGAUUUGAGCCCUGGAGAAAAAUCUCCAUCACAACAUAGUGGCAAGGAGACAAGGAGGAAACAGAACAAUCAACUGUCAGAGUCAUCAGAAGAUGAGCGUGAUGGUAGAAGAACGAAACACACGGUUGAUUCUCCUGAUGAUUCCCAACAGAAACAGCACACUCCUAGUAGAGUUGGAAUGCACAACUCUUAUUCAAAGGAUGGCAUGAACAGUGAGGAUGCAAUAAAGGGUUUACGUGACGGUAUGGCUUCUAAGAAGUAUCCUGCUAAAAUCGAUGAUGAUUCUGAGUCAGAAGAUGGAAGUCCUUUUCGAAAAGAUAAGAGAAAAGCACACGGUAAUAACAACAUUGAUUCUGGCAGUUCAGGUUCAGAAGAAUCAGGGAAACAUAGAUCCCAUUCUGAGAAGCGAAAGCAUAAAAAGAGCCGUAAGCAUAAGAGACGUUAUGAUGACAGUUCUGAUGAAUCUAAUUCGGAGUCAGAUGACAAAGAGUCCAAGAGGAGGAGAAAGGAAGAGAAGAGGUUGCGAAAAGAGGAAAGACGGCGCAGACGUGAAGAGCGGCACCGUAGAAAGGCAGACCGUCAGGCCAGCAAACUAAAACUGAAGCAUGCUGAAACUGUUGAUAUGGCUUCAGAUCUUGAGAAGGAUCGUGAAUCUGACUCAGAUGCUGAUGCUAGGAAGAAAGGUUCAUAUAAUGGAAGAGACGAAUCGGAUCAGCAGAAACUUGAAAUUGAGCUUCGCGAGAAGGCUCUGGAAUCUCUUAGAGCAAAGAAAGCCAUCAACCACUAGGCUGAGGAAUCUCUUGCUAUGCAUUUACAUCUUUUAAAAACUUUUCUUUUGCUUAUAUCAUGUUCUGGAAGUGUGCUUAUAUGACUCCUAUUUAAUGUUCUGUAUGUUUACGUGGCAGUUGACCUGAGUAAUUGAGGAUUCCUGAGCUGUUUGCUUGAUGCAGCUGUAUUCAGGCUUAGCUGCUAGUUAUCUGAUUAGCACCAUGUGCACAAGCUUUUUAUGUUCCUCAGGGUGAUUUAAUCCACACCUCAACAACAACCAAGUUGGUAACCUCUUUGAUGUUGUGAAUAGUAUCAGAGUACCUGUUUAAAGUUACUGAUUCUUGGCUUGAGGUUUGUGUUACUCCCUUCAUGACUUGGUUCUGAUCAAGUAAUGAAAAUAUGUAUGUAUUUCUCUGAUGCUUGCUUAGGGUGCACUGUUGUUGAGACCAGACGGAACGCCCAUAAGCAAAUGUUUUGUACUGUUGAGAGAACACUUCAUCUUGCCCUCUUAUUUUGCGGUUCCAGCAUGGAGCAAAUCGUUAUAUUUGAGUUGCGAAUUUACUCA
Non-coding RNA from Oryza sativa Japonica Group (Japanese rice), 3247 nucleotides. The record is from RefSeq and is a predicted model, not a curated record. NCBI's taxonomy places the organism in Eukaryota, Viridiplantae, Streptophyta, Magnoliopsida, Poales, Poaceae.